Molecule: long non-coding RNA, 14159 nt
Filed under: Nicotiana tabacum (common tobacco)
Lineage: Eukaryota; Viridiplantae; Streptophyta; Magnoliopsida; Solanales; Solanaceae
Description: long non-coding RNA (NTAB_LNC010474)
Source: RNAcentral
UGCCAAGAGUGAAGGACAUGAUGACCAUGGGCUUCUUGUGAGUGAGAAGGCAAGGAAAUAUGCUAUUGUUAAGGAGCUUGAUGAUGUUGUCGACCUCAAAGAUGGAACUGUGGUUCUUCAAUAUGAAGUUCGCCUCCAGGAUGGACUUGAAUGUGGUGGUGCCUAUCUUAAAUACCUCCGGCCCCAGGAGGCAGGUUGGAUUCCCAAGGAAUUCAACAAUGAGUCUCCCUAUACUAUAAUGUUUGGACCAGAUAAAUGUGGAGCCACAAACAAGGUUCACUUCAUCUUGAAACAUAAGAAUCCUAAGAGCGGGGAGUACAUCGAGCACCACCUUAAGUUUCCACCAUCUGUACCUUCUGACAAACUAACCCAUGUUUACACUGCUGUGCUGAGACCGAACAAUGAGUUGCUGAUCUUGAUUGAUGGGGAAGAGAAGAAGAAGGCUAACUUUCUUUCAGAGGAUGAUUUUGAGCCAUCUCUCAUUCCUGCACAGACGAUUCCAGAUCCAGAAGAUAAGAAGCCCGAGGACUGGGAUGAGAGGGAAAAAAUCCCAGACCCAGAUGCUAAGAAACCAGAUGAUUGGGACGAGGAUGCACCAAUGGAGAUUGAAGAUGAGGAAGCUGAGAAGCCCGAGGGAUGGUUGGAUGACGAACCUGAAGAGAUCGAUGAUCCUGAGGCAACAAAGCCUGAAGAUUGGGUUGAUGAGGAAGAUGGUGAAUGGGAGGCUCCAAAAAUUGAUAACCCGAAGUGUGCCGAGGGCCCUGGAUGUGGGGAGUGGAGAAGACCAAUGAAGAGCAAUCCAGCUUACAAGGGAAAAUGGCAUGCUCCAUUGAUUGACAAUCCCAAUUACAAGGGUAUUUGGAAGCCAAGGGAUAUUCCAAAUCCUAACUAUUUCGAACUCGACAGGCCGAAUUUUGAGCCUAUUGCAGCAAUUGGCAUUGAAAUUUGGACAAUGCAAGAUGGUAUUUUGUUUGACAAUAUCUUGAUAGCCAGUGAUGAGAGAGUUGCAGAAUCAUACAGGAAGACUGCAUGGAAGCCCAAGUUUGAUGCAGAGAAAGAGAAGCAGAAGGCUGAGGAAGCAACGAUCUCUGGUGGGCUCAAAGGAUUCCAGGUAAUUGAUUAUACUUUCUUCACCAUACAUUCCAUCGUUCUUGGUUUUUCUUUGUAUUUCGUCACUUGACUUGAGAUAUAUUGGAACAAUCUGCAGAAAGUGGUAUUUGAUCUUCUCUACAAGGUGGCUGACAUCCCCUUGUUGGGUGAACACAAGUCCAAAGUGCUGGUGAGUGAAUGACCCGGUGUUCUGGUGUUGCAUGUUGUUUCAUUUUUGUAUGUGUGACUAAUACAUAGAUUUGUGUUGUAGGAUCUUCUUGAGAAGGCUGAGACAAAGCCUAAUCUCACAGUUGGUGUUGUCAUUUCAAUCGUAAUUGUCAUCUUCACAGUUCUCUUGAAACUCACCUUUGGUGGGAAGAAGCAGCAACCUGUAAGUCCGAACUCAGCCUCAGCUUUCCUCCCAUCCCUUUGUCCAAAAGAAAUAGGAAAAGAAAGAAAUAUCACACCUGGUUUCAUGUUUGUUGGGUAUGUUUGAUAAAAGAAACCUACUUGCUUGUGCAGGCAAGAGCUACUGGAGAGCCUAAGAAAAGUGAUGGUGCCGAGGCAUCAACUUCUAACAGUCAAGGAGCUACGGAGGAGAAAGAAGAGCAGAAUGAGGAUGCUGCUGCUGCUCCUCGUAGAAGGACUAGACGUGAUAAUUAGUGAUGGGCGAAGAAGUAGCGAGUGCUAGAAGGACUUAGGUGCUAUGCUGUUCUUUUAUUUUCCUUUACUAUCUUACUUCUUCCCCUGCUUUACCUAAUGGCCAGGCCAGCAAACAUUUUCCCAAAAUUUUAUGGUUUUUUCCCUCGGAACAGGCAAUGUGUGACAAUGUACAAUGAGACAGAUCCAUAUAAUUAGGGUAUUCUUCCAUAGUUUUUGAUGUAGAAGAUUUUUGUUCAAGUUGCUUAUAUUGCCCGUCGUAGAUUCUUUUUGUUAAGUUUAUUUUAGUCCUCUUGCUGGAUUUUGACUUUCUUUUUUAAUGUCUUUAUGAUUCAUACAUAGUCUCUUCUUUUCCUUCCAACAGCCUUAGAGCAAAGCAGUACCAACGAUUGACAGAAAAUUAAUAACACUAGCAGCAAAAUGGAUUCUAGUAAUCUAGUUUUUAGUUCUGUGAAAGAGAGAUUUAUGUUAUAUCCUGUUUAUGAAUCCUCUGAUUAAUAUUCUUUCAUCAUCAUUCCAAACAGUCAACCGAGUGAACUUCGUAAUCACACAAUCUACAGCUAAGACCAUCCAUAUAAGCCCGGUUUUAUAUUGUGAAUAAGUAGAAAUGACACCAGAAUACUGCUAUUUAGAAAUUAGCCGGUGCAUCCUAAAUUUUUUUCAGUUCAAUUUUUCGAGAUAAGAGUAUUCUGAAUUGUGCUGAAAUUAUGAUUUUUAGUUUAAAAUUUCAAGACAAAAUAAGUACUGGCUAAUUUCUAUAUAGCAUCCCUAAAAAUGGCUAUCAGUGCACUUGCCUCCUUCCUCUUUAUAAUUUCUGUACCCUUUGUUACUUGAAAGGAGAUGGUUGAGGACCAUUAAAUACUACUCAUGGUAAAUUGGCACCAGUGCAACCGAGACAGUGUCCUAACAUCUAACCUAACCUUCUGAAUCCAAGUUAAAGACUAGACAAACUGUCAAGAGUUGCUUCAACUGUUACAAAUUAAUUCUUUACUCCUACCAUCCUAAAAAUGUCAAUUUUAAACAUCACUUCAGGGUUUGAAGUGAAAUUUCGUGUUACAAACAAUAAAUGGAGAUAUCAAAGUCCAAACCAUCAACUAUUGAAAGGUUAAACAGAAUGGAACCAAUAUACCAGAAAGAAGGCCCCCGCCCCCGAAUAUCUCAUCUAGCGAAACAAGUAGAAGAAAAGUAUUUUCUCCCACUGGAACUAAGAAAAGACAAUCCAAUACUUUGUAACAAUUACAACCAGUGGUAUACAUCUUCAAUAAUACGUUAAACGACGCAAAGUGACGGCAGAAGCCCCACGGAGAUUAAUGACCACGUAGUUGUCUUGCGGGUAUCAUGGAUGUGGGUGGGUUUGGAAUCGAAUCGUUUGGCCCAAUAUCAUCAAUUGGAGGACGCUGCUUAUGAUGAUUGGUGACUGACUGAUAAGCCAUUGCCAGUGCUAAAGCCUGCGCGUAAAAAGGAACACACAAAAUCAAUAUGGAGGUUGCUUAGCAAAGAACAGAAUUCCAAAAGCCACAUCUCAAUAACAAGACAAAGAACUACACUUAGUGUUGACAGUAAACAUGGAUUUAGGGCGCGUUCCUUGAGUUCAAAUGAACUCAUUGCUUUCUGUUCGAACGAUGUCACAUAUACAAAAAAACAUAUAAAAUGCAUACACAUACUAAUAUACUAAAACCACUCAUUCUGAAUCACACUAACAUUAGAUAUAGAUGAUCCUAGAGUUGCCGCUGGUGGGAGGUAUCCCUUACAAAUCGCAAAAACAUAAGAGAGAGAAUUAGAGCCUUACAACAUGAUCAUGGUCGGGAGGAGCAUAAAUGCCUGUAGUGAUUGUUGUCCUCCUGCGAGUAUCAUCUGUUGGAGCAUUCGGUAUCUUCUUAAAUCCUAUUGGAACCACCACUACUGGCAUACCCACUAGAUUGCCCACACAAACUUUCUCCCAAUCAGUUGCAUCUCCAAUAAACGCGUCAACUUUGAAGCUUUCUCUGACUUCCUGAAUCAAUUUGCUUCUAGCUCUCUGUGCCUGUUAAGUACAACUUCAUUCUUUUAACGCUUAACAAAAUAUUUGAUUCCACAUACAAAUAUUAAUCUGUUAAUGUCUGAACAACAACUGCAAAGUGGAUCAGGCUCUAUCCGAAGCCAAAGUGUUUUAACACCUCGAGAAUUGUUUUCUAGAACAAGACAUGUACCUGAAUAUAGUCUACAGCAGUUAUUACACGGGCACGUCGAAGUUCAAGAGGCCAUUGGUUUUCAGCUUCAAAUUCAUUAUCCUUGUUAGAGCGUUGCCACUCAUCAAAGUGGGCUAGCAUGUCAACAUCCAUAGUGAAGUUGACAAUACCUUGAGCAAUGUCAACAGUAUAUUUCAGAUCAAAAGGAACCAUCUUCGCUCCCUUUGAUUGAAGUACAUUAACAACCUGUCAUUGACAUAAUUAAACAGUCAAAUCCUGGCACUCACAGAAGAUGAAGAAACGAAUUGAAUUACAGAAUUAGUCAUAUGUUGAAAUUUCUAGUAAUGAAAAGAAGUCACUUACUUCCUUGUCAGCGUCCUCAAGAUAACCGACAGUGAGUUUUGUGAUGUCAACUGAAAAUGGAUCAACUAACGCGAUGUCUCUGGAUGAAAGAUCAUCUGGGUCCUUUCCCAGGAUGGCAUCGAGAACAACAGCGCAAUCUGCUGCACUUCUACAAAAUGGUCCUAGUUUGUCCUAAUAGAACAGCCAGAUUUAAGUGUCAGCGCUGCUAUAAUAAAAGAUAAAACACAUACGAAAUGGAAUCAAAUUCUGUGUUUGUGCAAGAGAUAUGGUACCAAGCUUUCAGAUAUGCUCAUAACUCCAGUACGACCAACAGCUCCAAAAGUGGGCCGCAAUGCAGUAACACCACACCUAGCAGCUGGGUAGGUAAUCGACCCAACAGUUUCUGAACCAAUUGCAAAAGGAACUAUACCUGCAACACAAAGACACCGUUGUCAAAAGAAUAUACUUCGCCUACUAAUAAGCAAACUAACAUGAAGGGGCGGGAACUGCCAUUCUAAGUCUUGAUGGAGGAUUCCAUCCACAAACACAAAGUUCAUAGGCGGACUGAUAUUGCUUAUCACCAUUUACCUGUAUGCACAUACUUUCCUUGUUGUUGGUCAUAGUUGUUGAACCAAUUUCAGGAUUAGGCACAGAAUACAUAACAACAACAACAACAACAUCCCAGUGUAUUCCCACAAGUGGGGUCUGGGGAGGGAAGGAUGUACGCAGCCUUACCCCUACCCUGGAAGGGCAAAGAGACUAUUUCCGGAAGACACACACAGUACAUAAGAUCCUUUAAAUUCUAUUCAUUUGGAUCAGUGAAUGACUAAAUGUUAGUUCAAGUCCAUUCUUUCGACCGUGCAGAUACACAAACAGAUGUAGGCAUCUAGCAGAAGAAGUAAUAUCAUAUUUGCCACAAUGGAAGAUAGGCUUAUCUCCAUAAAAACACCUAUUAGGAAUAGUAUACCUGUUGAGGUGCAGGAAGCUGGCCCUGCCGAUGAACCAGUAGAAAAUUCUUCCAUAUUCCAUGGAUUUCUUGUUCUACCGCCAAACCAGAUAUCAUCAUAUGCUAAAGAACCAGCGACUAAUUUUGCAACAAGAACAGCACCAGCAGAUUUCAGCCUGCAUCAACCGUAUCUAUAAGUUAUACAAACACAUGCACAAUAUAUGAUAGCUAGUGAAUGGGGCCUCUACAUUCAUUUGUCAAUACCUCUUAUAAACCCAAGCUUCGAGAUCAAGAACUUGAUCUUUGAAAGAUUUGGAGCCCCAUGUUGUGGGAUAGUUUGGUACUGCAAUAAUGUCCUUCAAACCAUACGGAAUCCCAUGAAGAGGACCUAUAAAGAAUAAAAUCAAAUAAAUGUAUCUAGUCCCUUUGAGAAAAUUCAGAGAAAGCUAAUUGUAUAUGAAGUUUUUCUAAUUAAGAUCAGACCCGGGAGGCUUCAUCUCUUAGAAUAAAAUGAGAAGUGCUGGAAUAUAAUGGAAAAUAAUGGAGGAUGUUAAGAGUAGGUAAAAUGCUAAUAGCAGCAAGGGUAUACAAGAAAGGAAGAGGGCCAAGGGGAAAGGAAGGAGGAAUGUUACCCAAAUAUUUGCCUUUUGAAAGCAGUUGAUCAGCUUCUUUUGCUUGUUGAUAUGCUAAUUCUUCAGUAAUUGUGAUAACGGAUUCAAGGACAGGACCAUACCUGUGAAGCUCCGGAAGUACAAUAUUUUGAGAAUCAAAUUAUUCAAUAACAUACAAAGCAGAUUACAGGAAGAAAAGCAUUCACCAUACCUUUGUAAUCUGUCCAAAAAAAUUCCAGUUAGCUCCGCUGAUGUAAUUAAUUUUUCCUUUAGAAGUUGCCCAAGUUCAAGAAUCUGAUAUAACAGCAUACCAUGUAUCAAUAAUAAAAUAAAAAUGACAUACAUUGGUACAACAUAGUUCCUUGCUCGUUUGGUACGAGGGAUAAGGGAAAAUUAAUCCCGGGGAUUAAAUUUGAAAUGAGUUUAUUCCACGUUUGGUUGGGAUUACAGUAUAAGUUAAAGGGACUAAGAGGGUGCACUUACACUCAUAAAAGCAAUAUCCUCAUCAUUUUUUGGCCUUUGAAUACCAGAGUAUACAGGGUAAUUGAACUUGCCUGUUCCUUGCUUUACUUCUUUCGCAUUCCAUACAGAAUUGAAAACCAAAGGAGAAGGGUUAUGUAGACCUCCAUUUUCAGUAGCGACUAACUUCCUAUUGCUUCCGAUUAUAGGAAUGUUAAAAUUUUGUGCACCCUUUUGAAUUUCAAGCUUCUGAAAAAGAAUGAGCACAACAAAAAUGGCCCUACUUAGUUUUCCAAUUCACAUCGAGAGUACUAACGAAACGUUUAAGUGAUCUUAUUAACACUGUCACAGUACCUUACAGUCAUUGAAAAAACCAGCGUCCAACAUAUCAAAUCCACAUUUACAUACUGGAAAACUAUUUUUGGCCUGUUCCAAGUGUUCCCCGCAGUUUUUAGGACCCAACUUCCCACUGUCCUGAUUAAUAACUACAGAUUAUCAAACAGAAACUAUAGCAACUAUAUAAUAGAGGCAACUAACUUUAUCAUUGAUUUAAUGCAAAUUUGAAUGUACUACCUUGACGUAAGGUCCCUGGAAUAAUAACCCCAGGUGCUCUGUGGUAAAUAUUUGCGUAACUUUCUACAAAUUCUGACCUGCUUUGCAAAUGUUAGUUUGAAGAAAGAGACCAGACACUAGAUCUUUAUUUACCUUUUCACCUUCUAGUCUGCUGUUUCUAUUCUUAGAGUGCUAAAAUAUAAUUCAGUGGUGUUCCCCUACUAUGUUAUCCACAAGCUACUAAAUGUAUAGUGGAAAUAAUGACUGCAAGCUUGCAAUGGAAAUAUAUUAAACAAGAAAAUCCAUAGUAACUUCAAAUGAUAGAUUGUAUAAUAUAGUACUCAUGAGUACAUUAGCAAGUAUCAUUAAAAUGAGUCAAAACUACUCUACCAAUUUAAAUGUAAGUAACAACACAAAAAAGAAAUAGCAGAAACGCAUGCAAUUCUUGAUUAAGCAAGAGGAAGAUGAAGGAAGAGGAGUCGAGAGUAUACCAUAUUUGUGGAAAUGCAGGCAAAACCCAAUAUUCUAAUGGGAAUAAUGAAGAAGAAAUUGGAGUUACGUUGCUGUUUAACAUAACAUAACAAUGUUGAAACAAGAGAAACAGUCCGAGGAAUGUGGUUAAUGGCAAGAACGGUGUUGGCAACGUGGGUAUCAAGUGACAAAUGUCACAUUAGCAGGUUGCCACGUAAUUAGUCAUGAGGACGAGGCCCUUUGGUUCUCUGCAGUAAACUCCUUUGUGUGGUUUCGUAAACUCAAUGUUUACUGUUUAGUAUAACCAAUUCUACAAUAGUUUAAUCUAAAAAGUUUAUGCUCGUAGUGGGGAUAAACCUACUAUUCCUUAAUGAUUAUAUAUGCAUAUUUGCACGGGCGGAGACACGAUUUAAAAUUUAUGGGUUCGAAAUUUUAGUUAUUUUAAGUUACUGAAAUCUAAAUUAAUAAUUUAUGUAUAAUUUAAUUAAUUUUUAAAGACAAAUAUACGAUAUUGAACUAAAACUACGGGUUCAGCUGAACACGCAAUCGAAGGCUAGCUUCGCCCCACAUAUUCCUAUAACUUUUUGUAAAGAUGAAUUUAUAAUUUAACAUUUAAGUUCUUAGAAUUUUAACUUUUAUAGUUAUGACUUGAAAAUUUAGCAUUUAUUGAUAUUUUUAUAAAUUUUCACUAAUUAUUUAUGAUACGAAAAAAGUAUAAUGUGUUCGAUGGAACCUAUAAAAACAGGUUGCAUCCACCUUUUGCUCUUUUGAUACUCAAUGUGGUUUAUAAUUCAUGAUAUUAUUGGUUUAUAAUUCAUGAUAUUAUAAUUCACAUUGGACACACUUGUAAGAAAUAAGAAUCGUCCUAUCUCUUUCAAAAUAUUGCUGCUACUUAUCUCAAUAUUAUUGCUCGAUCAAUUUUUUCAAAUUUAAGGUUUAAAUUUAACGGUCGUUCGACUAAUCCCAUUGUAGAAUAAUUUUAAAUUACUUGCUAUUAAUAAUUAUGUGCCAGCUCAAGUGGUUUAAUUUUUCCAUUUCGGAUAAGGGGUCCAAGGUUCAGCCCUUGUUGUCUCCAAUAUUUUUUAUUUUUUAAGAAGAAUGACCAAAUUUAUAAAAUUAAAAUAAGGUAUCCUAUAGGACUCAAUCCCAUGUCCCCUCUAAUAAAUUUGAAGGUUGAACCAGCGAGCAAAGCCAAUUUUCAUGUUAAAGCGGUGUCAUUUUCCACUUGUAUUAAAUGUAUUUUGUUUUUGUAUUAUUCACAAAUAUAUAUUUAGUAAUAUAUUUUUCGACGAGGCCUCCGCCAAUCGUCGUAGGUAUAUUAAUCACGUUUAUUCGCAUACUAGUAUUAGCACCCGCGCGGAUGCGCGGACAUUAAUCAUGUCAAAUAUUUAAGUUAUUUGGAUUAUAUGUAAAUAAUCUUAAAAUUUAAACUUUCUCAGUAAAUAUAGAUAAUUAUUGGAUAUUAAACACUACAUGAAAAAAAUCAACCAUUUUUUCUAUUUUUCUUUUUAGAUUUCAUUCUCGCCGGUGUCAUUGGAUCCUAAAAAUAGUCAGAAAGCAAAAUAAUAACUAAUGUUUAUGGCAAAACAAUAAAAUAUUGAGACUAUGAAUGACUCUUUGGAUACGACUUGACUCUUUUACUACUACUUGAACUCUUAUUUUGUGUGUUGAUAUCUCUUAAAAAACAUUUCUUUUUUAAAAUUUCAGUUUCUAAAACUUUAUUUUUCAAUAAUAAUUAUUUUUAUAAUAAUAUAAAAUAUUAUCCUUAAUUCAAAACUCAUUUUAGUUGGCUAUCUAAAAAUUUAAAAAAUUCUUUAGUCAGUGAAUUUUGUUUUUCAGUAUGACUCCAUUUUGAUAUUUGACAUUAACCAUGUUAAAUAUAUGAGUUAUUUGAAUUAUAUGUAAAUAACCUUAAAAUUUAAGCCUUCUAAAUAAUUAUAGAUAGUCAUUAGUAUUAAUUAAGAAACACUACAUGAAAAAAGAGUAACAUUUUCUCAAAUCUCGUAGUGAUAUAAUUUUAUUUUUUCACUAUUCUCAUUGGUGUCAUUGAAACCUAAAAAUAGCCACAAAGUGAAAUAAUAACUCAUAUUUAUAGCAAAGAACAAAGGUUGACAUAAUAUAAACGAUUCUUUGGUUACGACGUGACUCUUUUACUACGACUUGAGCUCUUAUUUGGUAAGACAUUAUCUUUCAAAAAAUAUUUCUAUUUUGAAAUUUUAAUUUCUAAAAUUUUAUAUAUAUUUCAAUAAUGAUUAUCUUUAUAAUGAUGCAAGUAAAAAUAUUAUUCUUAAUUUAAAAUUCACUUUAAUUGGCUAUUUAAAGAUAUAAAUGAUUCUUUAGCCGGAAAAACUUUAUUUCAAUAUGACUCCAUUUUAAGUUUAUCGAUAUCCCUAGCCACAUAUUUUAAAUUUUUAAUACCCUAUAUAUACAAAAAACAAAUAUUCUUUGAAUCAUUAAAUAUUAAAUUAGUUGAUUGCUAUUAUAUAACAUUGCAUAUAUUAUCUUAAAAUUGCCAAGUAAUUUAUUUUUUGACACCAUACUUGGCUUAACCUCAAUGCAAACUACUCAAAUUGCAUUUAGAUUCAAAUUCGAAUAUCAUAUCAGUUUGUUAGUAAUAGUGAUUUAUAAAAACGACACACAAUAUAAAUAAAAAAAAUAUUCUAACAUUUUCUUAUCUUAUAAUCUAUGUAUUUGGGUUGAAACAAAUAUUUGAAAUCGAUGAGAUUAGCUUCCAAAUUUUUUAUAUUCAACAAAAAUGAAACGUAAGAAGAAAUUCGUUGUCAUCUCUUAUUUCUGAUUUUUAGAUCUUUCAUUCAUUGUUUUUAAUAUUUAAUUUCUUUUAUCUUAUUUUUAUGUCAUUCUUUCUUUUGUUAAAAAAAUAAUAAUUUAUUUCACUAUAAAAGGAUGAGUUUUAAUAGAAAUUGUCUACAUAAGAACUUUAUUUAUAUUUUUAGUCUUUGGUUGAAAUUCUUUCAUAUUUUUUUUUGGCUUUAUCUAAUCAGCCUAAAUAGGUUCUCACCCGACCACUUAAAUUAAAAAAUUGAAGGAUGUGUAAUAUAUGUAUAAUCCAUAUGUAUAUAAUCGUGUGUUGUCGGUAUAUCAUCUAUUUAUAUUAGCUAUAAAGAGUAAACAAUAAAUAUGGCCAGAUAUUUAUGUAAAUAUUCCAUAAGAUUUUGGUUUUUUGAGUUUAUCCAUGAUAUGACUUCUAUUAUAAUAAUUUUAAAAACUCUCUACUAAUGUUCAAAAAUAUCUUAUCUUUUUAUUAUAUUUGAAGUAGAAAAAAGUAAAGAGUUUUUUCGAAAUAAUUUAUUUACAUUUAAAAAAAAAAUCACGUCAUACCAAUUUUUUUUAAAACAUAUACUCUUUGUUACACUUGAAAAUCGUUAUAGAAACUAUCAAUUAGAAACCAAUAUCUCUCUUGUUGAGUUCGAGAAAAAAAGUCUUUCACAUAAUCUAAUGAUUCAAAACUAAUAUUCUUCAAUAGAAAAAAUAUUAUACCCUUGCAAUAUUGGUUCAGCUUAUACCCUUCAAUUCAUAGGAUGUGCUAAAUUGAAAUUAAUGAUAGCAAUUGUAUAGCCAAAGUUUUGUUGUUUGUUUGAUAUCCAUUUAUACAAAUUGACUCUUCAAAUAAAUAUUCUUCAAAAAAAAAGGAAAAAAUAUAUUUUUUAAUAUUGACUGAUCUUUGUAAUGUUUCUUUCUCUAGCAUGUAUGUUUACUUCAUUAUAUAUGUAAGUAAACUUUUAUUCGAUUUUAAACUCUUUUUUGUUAUUUGGAUAAAUAUAGACGUGUAUCCUAUAUAUUACAUUUAUUUUAAAAGAAAUUCUCUUUAUUCAAAUCUAGCUACAGUGUUUUAAAGAACUAUAAUUAUAGGGGUUUAAAUGUGAAAGAAUUUUAUAGUUAUAUGGAGUAGAUUUUUUUUUUUUUGCCAGAGGCGAAGUAGUAUUUAAAUNNNNNNNNNNNNNNNNNNNNNNNANAAUUAGAAAAGAUAACAAAAGUUUCUAACAUGAUUGCAUAUGAUCAUUAACCGAAUUAAGUAUGAUAACAUGAUUAAAAAAAGAUAAAUUUUUAUUUUUAAUUUAAAUUCGAAUUUUAAAACUUAAUCUAUAAAUUCAAAAUUAUCUUUUAAUUCAAAUUCAGUUUUUAUAUAUAGAAUAAAGUUACCAUAUACUAUUGACAUUUAUUAGCUUGCCACUUGACUUAAUCAUAAUGUCAAUUAUAUAUGGUAACUUUAUUCCUUUAUUAUAUAUAUAAAUUUGUGUUUCCCGUUACAACUUCCUAUGAUUUUUGUCUAAAUUUCAAUAUUAAUAAUACAUAUCUCAAUAUUACUGUUAUUGUUAGAAAAGAUGUAAAAUUGAACUAGAUUUGUUGGGAUUCCGAAUUCCUCAUCAACUUUUGAUGUCUUUCCAUUUUGUUUUCCAUUAAAUAUCUAUCCUUGUAUCUUAAAGAUAAUUUUGCACUAAUAAAGAAAAUACUUGUACUAAUAAAGUUAUGUGCGAAUGUUUUUCCUCUAUUAACUUAAAUUCUGAAGAAAACUUGAGUCACAAACCAAAUCGAAGUGUAAAACUUUUGUUGAGGUUAAUAUUGUAAAGAAAACACUAAAAACAUUCUUUUAAUAAUAAAUAACAUAUUAAUGUAGUAAACAUAAUAUGACCUAUAAAAUUACUUACAUCAAUGCCACAAAACAAUCCCAACCGUAGAACAAACUUUCCAUGCAAGUCCGCGUUUUUGUCGCUACAAACAACGUGGCAAAUGUUAAUUGGUUCAUAUCACGUGUCACAAAGUACAAUUGGCUACAACAAGUCGACGCCACAUUUCUCAAGAUCUAUUUAUUUAUUUAUUUUUUCUUGGUCUCAAGAUCUAUUUAUGCUACUAUCUGGAAAUUAUUGUCCCGCAAAAAUUUCACUCUGUUUUUCUCCGGUUUCUGGAGACUUCUUCUUCUCCCCGUGUUGAUCUAAUUCUCUCUUUGCACCAUAUUUCGAUAUUAUGAAAGAGCAGAAUCGGAGGAUGUGGACGCAAUAUGCACUGUUGCUAUUGGCCGGUUGCUUCGUCUCUCAACUCUACGCCUCUUCAGAUGUGGUAAGAUAAAUAUCUUUACUUACGUGUAUGUUCAUGUUUGUCUUUGCAAUAGCGUGUGUUGGCUGAGAUUUGGUUGCCUUUUCUUUUGUAGAAAAUUUACGAGUCAUUCGAUGAGGCAUUUGAUGGGCGUUGGAUUGUGUCUGAGAAAGAGGACUAUAAUGGUAAGCUUUUUUGUCUGGAUCUGUUCAGUAUUCCUUUAGAAUUUGACUUUUAUAUAUAUCGUAUUAGCAUAGUGUAAGAUAUUUUUUAAUAAGUGUGGUGUCCAACUAGUUUGCAUACACCUCAACUAAUUUGGCGUGAUAACUGCUACCUUCCGUCAGCAAUAAAUAUAUGGUAACUCUAUCCCCAAGACUUGGAUAGAUAGGAAGAAAUAGGUCGGGUCAGGAUUUGAACCUGAGAACUCGAAGUUCUCACCCCACUUCGUUGACCACUAGACUAUAUCCUUGGUGGCAGAUCCUUAUAGUUGAAUUUGAAUUGAUUAAGAAAAUCACACCAAUGCUUAAGAUUUGGAAUUUGAAUUGUAAAAUUAUGAAAGUGUACAAAUUUCUGUCAUCCAAGUUGAAAUGUAAAGUGAGACGGAUGGGGUGUUUUAUUUUCUUUUGGUUUUUUUGGGGGUUGGGGGGGGGGGGGUAACUCAUUGCCAAAAAACUUAUGUUUAAAAUUGUAAUGAUAAUUUUGAAUUUGAUGGAUGGAUGCAUUUAAGGAUGGGGGCGUGGUGUAUUUGCUUAUCUUAUUCUCUUUGAACUGCAACUCUAUGGAUAAUGCAUUAUUAUUAUGAAUCCAACUCGUUUUUGGGGAGAGACGUUCUAUUUGAUGUCCUACCCUUGGCUGAGGGUGGAGUGGUGGCAUAUUAUACUAAAAUAUCGUAUAGAAACUUAGAGAAGUAUGCUAAUUAAAGUCUUUAAUGAUUUUAUAUAGCUAAAACCGAGUGGAGUGAUAUUCAAUACUAUAAUAUCUUUGUGAUGUUACUUGUGACAGCAUCAUUCUAUACAUACAAAAUCAAGGCAAAUAAGGUGAUAAAGAUGCUUUGUGUUGUCUUUUAAGUAUAUGCUAUUAUUCAAAUCCAUUAAUUUUUAUGAAGGUGUGUUAUUUAUUUUCCCCCCUGCCAAAUUUUUGAAUACUGCCAAAUCCUUUAAUACUCUAUGCAUAUGAUGCAGAACUGUGUUCACUGUGAUCGAUAUGACCCAAAAUCCAUUUGUUUCGAAGCAAUGUAGAACUCCUUGAUUCUGUUUGACAUCAGCCGUAAAGUAAUUCUCACUAGAAUUUGUCUCAUGCCUUUGUGCAAUGCCUUUAUGUCUAUAAUGCUAAGUCGAACUUUGAUUGUUUAGAUAAAUUUGUCGCUGUAGAGCUUCUUAUAUCUUCGUGCAAUGUCUUUAUGUUUGUGAUGCUGAGUCAAAUCUUUGAUGUUGAAGUUUCAAGUGUUCAUAUUGAGUUGUAAUUGUGUCUCAGGUGCGUGGAAACAUGCCAAGAGUGAAGGGCAUGAUGACUAUGGGCUUCUUGUGAGUGAAAAGGCAAGGAAAUAUGCUAUUGUCAAGGAGCUUGACGAUGUUGUCGACCUCAAAGAUGGAGCUGUGGUUCUUCAAUAUGAAGUUCGCCUCCAGGAUGGACUUGAAUGUGGUGGUGCUUAUCUUAAAUACCUCCGGCCCCAAGAGGCAGGUUGGAUUCCCAAGGAAUUCAACAACGAGUCUCCCUAUACUAUAAUGUUUGGACCAGAUAAAUGUGGAACCACAAACAAGGUUCACUUCAUCUUGAAACACAAGAAUCCUAAGAGUGGGGAGUACAUCG